UAUGUGAACAUGCACAUGUGUGG
This 23-nucleotide microRNA is filed under the name Eptesicus fuscus (big brown bat). RNAcentral describes it as "efu-miR-9336". Lineage: Eukaryota; Metazoa; Chordata; Mammalia; Chiroptera; Vespertilionidae. The record is from miRBase by way of RNAcentral.